RNAcentral lists this unclassified non-coding RNA (200 nucleotides) under fungal sp. RNAcentral describes it as "partial internal transcribed spacer 2". The record is from RNAcentral. Lineage: Eukaryota; Fungi.
UUAAGUUCAGCGGGUAGUCUUGCCUGAUUUGAGGCCAAUAGAAAGAUAUUGGGCAGCCUACGUAGACUAGCGCAGAGAAUGCUUAGCACUCGGGCUAGCCCACACAGGCCACUAUCUGGCUACGUUUAGACCGAGUCCAGGGACAACAGUCAAAUCGCAUUGCUGCAUUGAUGUAUGCGGCACUCAAACAGACAUGCCUC